UUCAGUCAAUAACAGUUGCUGAAUUUUUUCGUGUAUUCAAAAUUAUCAUUUCUUAAUGAGAAAAUACAUAACCUCAACAUUAUCCAUAGGGAGUAUUUUAACCUAUUCUGAAAUUCUUAACCCUAAUAGGCUUGAUUUUACACCUUCUAACUUAUUUUUUAAACUUUAUUUUUUUCCCUUUAAAAAAAAACUUUUUGUGGAAGGGCCAGGUAUUAAAGUAUUAAAUCUCUUAGAAUAAAUUAACUUUUUAUUUUUAUUAAAAUAUCGAAAUACUUUGUUAUCCUUCCAUUUAAAAUAUUGCAUGACCUAUAUUUAGCAAUAAGUCUGCACUCACCGGCAUGCUCUGCAAAUGGCAAGUGUUGUUUAAUUUGCCUAUUUGCUGUGUGACUGUUUAAAGAAAGCACUGCAUUAGGAUCGCACUUCCCGGUAGAAAGUAGUAGCGGAAUUCAAUAAAAGUUGGAUAGACAAAGAAAUAUUCUUCCUUUAAAAGAUUAUUUGGGGUAAAACUAAUUAUUGUUGCAAUAAUGUCUAGCCCUACUGUGAUUUAUAGCACAACCUUAAGAACUACCUUUAAUUUUCAAAACUGAAAUUAUAAUGAUGAUGACGACAAAAACAACAGUAGCUAAUAUUUACUGAAUGUUUACUAUAUGCAGAAAAGUAUUCUAACCAUAUUAAGUGUAAUUAUUUUGUUAAUCCUUAUGGUGAAUUUAUGAGAAAGAUCCUCUUUUUACCCACGUCUUGAUCUGACAAAACUGAGGAAUCGGGAGGUUAAGCAAUUUACCCAAGACCAAACAGUUAUGGGUGAAUGAAUCAGGAAGUAUUUCCCAAUGAAUUAUAAAAUAAUUAUUAAGACCCUUGGAUAUGUUCAAGUUCUGAAAGGCACUAUGGAGAGCACACACAAGAAGAUUCUAGCCAGAGCAAUUAGGCAAGAGACAGAAAUAAAGACCAUCCAAAUUGGAAAGGAGGAGUAAAAUUGUCCCUGUUUGCAGACAACAUGGUCUUAUAUAUAAAAACCCCUAAAAGCUUCGCCAAAAAUCUCUAAGUAUGGAUAAAUUAAUUCAGUAAAAUUGCAAGGUACAAAAUUAACAUAAAAUCAGUAGUGUUUCUGUAACUCAGUGACAAACCAGUGGAAAAAGAAAUCAAGAAAGCAAUCCCAUUUAAAGUAGCUAUAAAAAUAAAAUAAAAUACUUAGGAAUAAAUGUAACCAAGGAGGUAAAAGUUUGCUACAAGGAAAACUGAAAACACUGAUGAAAAAAAUUGAAAAGGUCACAAAAUAGUGGAAGACAUCUCAUGUUCAUGAAUUGGAACAAUUAAUAUUGUGAAAAUGACCAUACUCAAAGUGAUCUACAGAUUCAAUGCAAUUCCUACCAAAAUACCAAUGGAACCACAGAAGACCCCAAAUAGUCAAAGCAAUCCUGAGCAAAAAGAACAAAGCUGGAGGCAUGGUAUGACCUGACUUCAAAAUAUUAAGCUCUGGUUACACAACUAUAAUAACCAAAACAGCAUGGUACUGCCAUAAAAGCAGACACAUAGACCAAUGGAACAGAAUAGAGAACUCAGAAAUAAAGGCAUGUAUUUACAGCCAACUGAUUUUCAACAAAGGUACCAAGAACAUUCAGUGGGGAAAGGACAGUCUCUUCAAUAAAUGGUGCUGGGAAAACUGGAUAAUCCAUAUGCAGAAAAAUGAUACUAGACCCCUAUCUCUCACCAUAUGCAAAAAUCAACUCAAAAUGGAUUAUAGACUACAAUGUAACCUGAAACUACGAAACUACUAGAAGAAAGCAUUGGGGAAAUGCUUCAGGACAUUGGUCUGAACAAAGAGUUUUGGGGUAAGACAUCAAAAGCAAAGGCAACGAAAGCAAAAACAGACAAAUAGGAUUACAUGAAGCCAAAAACCUUCUGCACAGCAAAGGAAACAACAGAAGAGACAGUGAAUAGAAUGAGAGAAAAUAUAUGCAAACUAUUUAUUCGACAAAGCAUUAACAACCAGAAUAUGUAAGGAACUCAAUAGCAAAAAAAAAAAAAAAUUCCAAAUUAAAAAUGGGCAAAUGAUCUGAAUAGCAUUUCUCAAAAGAAGACAUAGAAAUAACCAACAGGCAUCUGCAAAAAUGCUCAACAUCACUAAUUAUCAGGGUAAUGCAAAUCAAAAUCACAAUGAGACAUAGCACCCCAGUUAGAAUGGCUGUUAUCAAAAAGACAAAAAAUAACAGGUACUGAUGAAGAUGCAGAGAAAGGGGAACACCAGUACACUGCUAUAGGAAUGUAAAUUAGUGUAGCCACUAUGGAAGACAGUAUGGAAGCUCCUCAAAAAACUAAAAAUAGAACUACAGGAUGACCCAGCAAUCCCACUACUGGAUAUAUAGCCCAAAGAAAGGAAAUCAGAAUAUCUAACAGACUAUUCACGAUAGCCAAGAUAUAGAAGUAACCUAAGUGUCCAUCCAUGGAUGAAUGGAUAAAGAAAAUGUGAUAUAUAUAUAUACAAUGGAAUAUUAUUCAACCAUAAAAAAGAAUGAAACACUGUCAUCUACAACAACAUGGAUAAAACUGCAGGUCACUGUGUUAGAAGUAAGACAGGCACAGAAAGACAAAUAUUCCAUGUUCUCACUCAUAUGUGGGAACUAAAGAAAAGUGAUCUCAUGGAGGUAGUGAGUCGAGUGGUGCUUGCCAGGGGCUGGGAAUAAAAGGUGGGCGGUUAAAGAGGUUUGUUAAUGGGUACAAAACACAGCUAGAUAGAAGGAAUAAAUUCUAGUAUUCAAUAGCACAAUAGGAUGACUGUUAACAAUAAUUUAUUAUAUAUAUGAUAUAUCUAUAAGAGAAGAUUUGAAAUGUUCCCAACACAAAGAAGUAAUAAAUGUCUGAGGUGGUAGGUAUCCUAGAUACCCUGAUUUGAUUACUACAUACUGUAUGCAUGUAUCAAAAUAUCACAUGUACCCUGUAAAUAGUACAGUUAUUCUACAUCAAUAAAAAACAUAAAAAAUAAAAUUAAACCUAUCAAUAGGUAACUGGUUAUAAAAAAUAAUGUGCAUAGACAAUGAAAUACCAUACAGCCACUAAAAAGCUUUAAAAAGAGGCUCAAUAAAAAUCAGUCACCUGCAGGUGGAAAGGUUUUCUUUAAAAAAAUGUACUUUCUCGACAGGCACAGUGGCUCACGCCUGUAAUCCUAGCACUUUGGGAGGCCGAGGUGGGCAGAUCACGAGGUCAGGAGAUCGAGACCAUCUUGGCUAACACAGUGAAACCCCAUCUCUAUUAAAAAUACCAAAAAUUAGCUGGGUGUGGUGGCAUACACCUGUAGUCCCAGCCAAUCGGGAGGCUGAGGCAGGAGAAUUGCUUGAACCUGGGAGGCAGAGGUUGCAGUGAGCCAAGAUUGCGCUACUGGACCCCAGCCUGGGCAACAGAGUGAGACUCUGUCUCAAAAAAAAAAAAAAAAAAAUUACCUUUGCUGCAGAGAAAUCAGAACAUAAGAAAUGCUAGGCCAGGUGUUGUGGCUCAGGCCUGUAAUCCCAGCACUCAGGGGGCUGAGACAGGAGCAUCUCUUGAAGCCAGGAGUUUGAGACCAGCCUGGUCAAUGUAGUGAGACCCUAUCUCUACAAAAAAGAAAAAAAAAUUUUGCUGAAUGUGGUAGCAUGCACCUGUAGUCCCCGUUAGGAGGCUGAGGCAGGAGGAUUGCUUGAGCUCAGGAGUUUGAGGUUGCAAUGAGCUGUGAUGACACCACUGCACUCCAGCCCAGGUGACAGAGCAAGACCCUGGCUCUAAAAUAAAUACACAGAUACGUAGAUAGAAAAAGAGAAAUGCUAAAGUUUGUGGUAGAUGUCACAAGAUCAGCAGUGAGCUCUGGAAGAGAUGACACUUCUGCGGAAGACCUUAGAGUACAGCGUUUCUCCAAAUGCCAUCCAUGGGUCACUUGUCUCAACUACCUGCGAUAUUUAUCCAAAAUCAAAUUACUGGGCCUCAUCCUAGAAUUAGCACCUCUAAAUAUGAGAGGUGGAGCUCUGGAAUCUGCGUUUGAACUAGACACUUUCCCCUUCCCCCUACACAGUUCCAACAGUAAUUCUGACAUAUAUUACAAUUAUGAGUAUGCCUUCUUAAAAGAUGGAUCUGCUUGGAUAAAAAAUGAUGACAGCUUUCCCAACAGGAAAAUAACAGAGGCAAAGAUCUGGGAGAAGCAUGGUUUGAGGGGAGGUGCAUUAAGGAGAUGGGAUCUAAUUAGAAUGCAGAGGCUAUUUUGGAGAGCAGUGGGGAGGAAGGCCAAAUAAGGAUAUUAAAGCCAAAAUAGGACUGUAGAAAUCAGAGGAGUUUAAAUUUAGUGAAGAAAUAGAGCCAUGUAUUAAUAAGCCAGAAAGCCUGAUGAAAACAUUAUUUAAGAAAAAUUGAUUUGUGAAUUAACUCUUAUUUUACAAAUUUAUCUUACCAGCUUUUAAAUAUAUUCUUAAUAUUUUAUAAACAUCUUUAUUUCUUAUUUUCUCUUGUUGGCUUCUGGAUCUCUUAUAGGAGAGGAAAAUAUUAUGUUCAUAAAUGUCCUCAAAGAAUUUGAAAUUUCCCUCAAAAUGGGAUAUAAAACUCAAAGUCUAUGUAGUUUGAAGGCUAAAAGUUAAAAAAUAGAUUUAUCAUACUGAAUAUCUCAAGGUACACAUCUGAUUCUUCUGCCUAUGACCAUCAUACACUGUUGGUGGGUAUAUAAAUUGAUAUGACCUCCACAGAGGACAGUAUGACAGUAUCUAUCAAAAUUUUAAAUGUAUGUUCCCUUUGAUUCAGCUAUUCUACAUGGACAUGCUCACACAUCUACAUAGAGAUUUACGACAGCACAUUGUUACUGCUCAGGGUCUGAAUUCUUAAAAUACUGGAAAUAACUUAGAUAACCUAUCACUCAGUAGGUAACUGGUUAUAUAAAAUAAGGUAUAGUAUAUAGACAAUAAAAUACUAUAUAGCCAUUAAAAAGAUUGUUAGAUUCAUGUUUCAUGUGUUGAUAUAGAAAAGUCUCUAAGAUAUAUUUUAAGUGAAAAAAAAAAAAAAGCAAGAUGCAGGCUGGGUGCGGUGGCUCCUUCCUGUAAUCCCAGAACUUCGGGAGGCCAAGGCAGGUGGAUCCCUUGAGCUGAGGAGGUCAAGACCAGCCUGGGCAAUAUGGCAAAAUCCCAUCUCUACUAAAAAUACAAAAAAUUAGCUGGGCAUAGUGGUGCACACCUGUAGUCCCAGCUACCCAGGUGGCUGAGAUGGGAGGAUCACCUGAGCCUGGGAGGUCAAAGCUGCAGUGAGCCAUGAUUGUGCCACUACACUCCAGCCUCGGCAACAGAGUGAGACCCUGCCUCAAAAAGA
This is a long non-coding RNA of Symphalangus syndactylus (siamang), 5310 nucleotides long. RefSeq lists it as uncharacterized. The record is from RefSeq and is a predicted model, not a curated record. Lineage: Eukaryota; Metazoa; Chordata; Mammalia; Primates; Hylobatidae.